RNAcentral lists this ribosomal RNA (293 nucleotides) under uncultured bacterium. Its description in RNAcentral is "partial 16S ribosomal RNA". It matches the Rfam family "Bacterial small subunit ribosomal RNA", at positions 505 to 796 of the family's 1533-position model. The record is from RNAcentral.
GUGCCAGCAGCCGCGGUAAUACGUAGGGGGCAAGCGUUGUCCGGAUUUAUUGGGCGUAAAGAGCUCGUAGGUGGUUUGGUAAGUCGGAUGUGAAAUCUCCAGGCUCAACCUGGAGGGGUCAUUCGAUACUGCCAUGACUAGAGGUCGGUAGGGGAGUGUGGAAUUCCUGGUGGAGCGGUGAAAUGCGCAGAUAUCAGGAGGAACACCCGUAGCGAAGGCGGCACUCUGGGCCGAUUCUGACACUGAGGAGCGAAAGCGUGGGGAGCGAACAGGAUUAGAUACCCUGGUAGUCC